RNAcentral lists this ribosomal RNA (166 nucleotides) under uncultured bacterium. RNAcentral describes it as "partial 16S rRNA". It matches the Rfam family "Bacterial small subunit ribosomal RNA", at positions 355 to 511 of the family's 1533-position model. The record is from RNAcentral.
UAGGGAAUCUUCGGCAAAUGGGGGCAACCCUGACCGAGCAACGCCGCGUGAGUGAAGAAGGUUUUCGGAUCGUAAAGCUCUGUUGUAAGAGAAGAACGUGUGUGAGAGUGGAAAGUUCACACAGUGACGGUAACUUACCAGAAAGGGACGGCUAACUACGCGCCAG